Molecule: long non-coding RNA, 3552 nt
Filed under: Macaca fascicularis (crab-eating macaque)
Lineage: Eukaryota; Metazoa; Chordata; Mammalia; Primates; Cercopithecidae
Description: lncRNA (ENSMFAG00000048541.1)
Source: RNAcentral
GCAGGAGAAUCGCUUGAAUCUAAGAGGCGGAGGUUACAGUGACCCGAGAUCGCACCACUGCACUCCAGCCUGGGUGACAGAGUGAGACUCUGUCUCAAAAAAAAAUAAAAAAAUAAAAAAACACAAAUAUCACCUAUAGCACUGCUGCCAACAUAACUUUAUUUGUGUAAUUUAAAAAUACGUGACCUCAAAAGGACAUUGAAACAUACCCAAAAUCUAUAAUAAAAUCCCAAAAGACUGCUCCCUCUCACUAUGUGCCUUGAUGAUGGCUACUUAAAUUUCCUACAUCCCCUUUCAGAAAAAUGAAAGACAUUUUACGAACAUAGCCAUGCCAAAGGCACGCACACAUUUUAGAAGUUCACACAAGAAGAAAUAAUACGGUAUCAGCUCCUCUGACCUGUGGUUACUAUUAUUACUUCUCACUGAAGACUCUCCUAUGAAGCUCUUCCCACAUCAGCACGUGCAUCACAAUUUCAUUCCUGUUUUGGGUGAGUGACAUCGUGUCCCAUAGCAUAUAUUUAUUUAUUUUUGUUGUUUUUGAGACAGAAUCUUACUCGUCACCCAGGCUGGAGUGCAGUGGCAUGACCUCGGCUCACUGCAACCUCUGCCUCCCAGGUUCAGGUGACUCUUGUGCCUCAGCCUCCCAAGUAGCUGGGAUUACAGGUGUGUACCACUGCAGCCAGCUCAUUUUUUGUAUUUUUAAUAGAGGCGGGAUUUCACCAUGUUGACCAGGCUGGUCUUGAACUCCUGACCUCAGAUGAUCCACCUGCCUUGGCCUCCCAAAGUGUUGGGAUUCCAGGCAAGAGCCACUGUGCCUGGGUUCCAGAGCAUGUAUUUCAUUAGCCAGUCAUCUCUUGAUGUAUGUUUUAUAUUUGGGUGUUUUUCAGGCUGUGUAGUUACAGGUCUUUAUACAGAUACAAAUCUCUUGACUUCCUUUUUUGUUUGUGAGACAGGGAGACAGGGCCUGGCUAGAGUGCAGGGCCAUGAUCAUAGCUCACUGCAGCUGAUUCCUGGGCUCAAGUGAUCCUCCUGCCUUAGCCUCCCAAAUUGCUGGGAGUACACAUGUGUGCCAUUGCACCUGGAUAGUUCUUAAAUUUCUUUUUAGAGAUAAGGUCUCAUUAUGUUGUCCAGGCUGCUUUCGUACUACUGGGCUCCAGCAUUCCUCCCGCCUUGGCCUCCCAAAGUGCUGGGAUUACAGGUGUGAGCCGCCGGGCCCAGCUCUUGACGGACUGUUGUCUCUGAAGUGAAUUCCUCAGAAUGGAGUUCUUGGGUCCACUUUCAUUUUCUUUUGAGUUUGGCUCUUGCUUUCAGAUCUAUAUUGUUCAUCCCCAGAUCUGGGGGCACCUGCUGAGAGUGACACCACACUGGAAGGGAGCUGCGUCUUUGAGGUCUCUGGGGACCUGAACUCAUUUCCUUUCCUGACUGUAGAGGGAACAUAAAAAGCUUCAAGCUCAUGGCACUGCGUGUCGGCCCGCAGUUUAGAGUAAGCUGGGUGUUAUUCCGGGUAGGAGGCACUGAUCCAUUUCAGGGGUAUGUGCCUUCAUUCAGCAAGUGCUUAUUGAGCGUCUUGUAGGUGUCAGGCACUUGGGAAGCAAAAUUAAAAAGAUAUGAUCUUCCUCCACUUGGAGCUUAUUGUUCAGUGAGGGCUGGUGUGUGAACGGCAGCCCCGUGAGACCGUCAGAAAAUGGGCGUCAAAGGGCUUGGGCCAUACUGGCAGGAGACUCAGAAAUGUGCAGGCCGACUUGGUGAUAGGGUCAGGGGCAGGGAGGAUGGGCAUUCCCGGCGGAGGCCACUGCACCUGCAAAGGCUUUGAGGCCUGAAAACAUGAGGCACGGCACCAGGGGGAACACAGACCACCAGGGGCUUGGUGUGGCCAUGGGGGAGUUCAGAAGCUAUGGCUGCAGCAUGCUCGGCCGCUCAGUGGCGCAGCACAGGACCGUGGCGCCCAGGCUGCUGGGUUCACCUGGUGUAAAAUGGUUUUGGAAUAGGUGGCAUGACGUGAUUGCCAAAUUAUUGUUUUACAAGCUAAGAAAUAAAUUUAAAAGUCAUAACGCAUGUCAUCAUCAUUUUAUUUAUUUAUUUAUUUAUUUUUGAGACAGGGUCUCACUCUGUCACCCAGCCUGGAGUGCAGUGGUGCGAUCUCGGCUUACUGCAACCUCCACCUCCUGGGUUCAAGCAAUUCUUGUGCCUCAGCCUCCUGAGUAGUUGCGAUUACAGGUGUGCCUUACCACACUUGGCUCAUUCUUUUGUAUUUUUAGAGACAGGAUUUCACCAUGUUGGCCAGGCUGGUCUUGAACUCCUGAUCACAAGUGAUCCACCCACCUCAGCCUCCCAAAGUGUUGGGGUUACAGGCAUAAGCCACCACGCCCAACCCAUUUUAUAAGUAUGUUUUGUGCCCAAUCAAGUAGCAAAGACAUAAUCUUAAAAUAAAGGACAGUUCUUCCCAAGGGGAACAAAAAGUAGGCAACCUGACACAUGCAUAGAUGAUGUACGCUGCUGUUACACACACGCACACACACUCAACUGUGUUGCUGUGAUAACAAACCACCUCAAGUCUCAGUGGCUUAAAAUAACAAAGGUUUGCCUCUCACUCAUUCAUGCUCUUGUGCACUGGCUGGAGGGGGCAGGGCUCUGCUCUCUUUGCCCUCACCCCAGAGGCCCAGGCUGAGAGCCGUCCCAUCUCCGAGCUUCAUGGGCAGUCAAGACAGAGAAAAGGGAAGGUGGCACAUCGUCCACCGUCUCUCGAAACUUCCUCCUGGAAGCGACACCUGCUAUUUCACUUACAUUUCAUUACCCAAAGCAAACCAGAUGGUCAAGUCAGAACUCAGAAAGGGUGGGGAAAUGCAAUUUUACCAAGAGGCAGGAAGAAAUAGAUAAUGGAAUAAUGCCAGUGCGUACUGCGGCUGAAUCCAGUGCAACUGAAUAGUCCUGGUUCAAACAAUUAAAAAAGACUGUGUGUGUGUACUUUCACCGGCUUCUUCACAGACCGUCGCCCAUACUUGAAUGAAUCUUCCUCCUGUGCGUGCUACUGUAUAGGAUAAAUGGAAGAGAAUGGAGGGUGUUGUCAGGGACGUUUUUGAGGAAUACUGAGGUCUACUUGGGGCGGUGAAACACGCUGGAUGAUGAGCUUCCAGCUGCUUGUUUUCCUGCUGGACUGUCUGUGAGUUCAUCUUCUUAUUUAUAGCUCCUUGUUACUGAGUGCCUCCCAGCAGCAGCUUCCUUUAGCCCUCUCUAGGAGGAGACAAAUGCCUAUUCCUGGCAGUCCGGGCAUGUCGUCUUAGGUGUCCUCUGGUGACCUAUGGUCUGGUGUUUUGCACAGUCUUCUUCACCACGUCUUCUAGGAGGAUUGAGAACUGAAUUUGAUUUUAAAACGAAGCUUGGUAAUCAAGAAUAGUAACAGCUGGCUGAGUGUGGGGGCUCACGCCUAUAAUCUCAGGACUUUGGGAGGCUGAGGCGGGUGAAUCACUUGAGGUCAGGAGUUUGAGACCAGCCUGAUCAACAUGGUGAAACCCUGUCUCUACUCAAAAAAUACAAAAAAAAAAAAAAAAAAAA